CCAAUAGCGUAUAUUAAAGUUGUUGCAGUUAAAAAGCUCGUAGUUGAAUUUCGGGAUCAGUUGGUUGGUCGUGCCUUUGUACGUACUGGUCAAAUUGAUUUCUACCUUCUGACGAACCACGAUGCCAUUAAUUUGGUGUUGUGGGGAAUCAGGACUGUUACUUUGAAAAAAUUAGAGUGUUUAAAGCAGGCUCACGCUUGAAUACAUUAGCAUGGAAUAACGAAAUAGGACGUUUGAUUCUAUUUUGUUGGUUUCUAGGAUCGACGUAAUGAUUAAUAGGGAUAGUUGGGGGCAUUAGUAUUCAAUUGUCAGAGGUGAAAUUCUUGGAUUUAUUGAAGACUAACUACUGCGAAAGCAUUUGCCAAGGAUGUUUUCAUUAAUCAAGAACGAAAGUUAGGGGAUCGAAGACGAUCAGAUACCGUCGUAGUCUUAACCAUAAACUAUGCCGACUAGGGAUCGGAUGAUGUUAAUUUUUUAAUGACUCAUUCGGCGCCUUACG
This 499-nucleotide unclassified non-coding RNA is filed under the name uncultured Glomeromycotina. RNAcentral's name for it is "SSU rRNA". It matches the Rfam family "Eukaryotic small subunit ribosomal RNA", at positions 591 to 1092 of the family's 1831-position model. The record is from RNAcentral. Lineage: Eukaryota; Fungi; Glomeromycota.